RNAcentral lists this ribosomal RNA (253 nucleotides) under uncultured bacterium. RNAcentral's name for it is "partial 16S ribosomal RNA". It matches the Rfam family "Bacterial small subunit ribosomal RNA", at positions 524 to 776 of the family's 1533-position model. The record is from RNAcentral.
UACGAAGGGGGCUAGCGUUGCUCGGAAUCACUGGGCGUAAAGGGUGCGUAGGCGGGUCUUUAAGUCAGUGGUGAAAGCUCCGAGCUUAACUCGGAAACUGCCAUUGAUACUAUAGGUCUUGAAUUCGGUCGAGGUUGGCGGAAUGUGUCGUGUAGCGGUGAAAUGCUUAGAUAUGACACAGAACACCGAUUGCGAAGGCAGCUAGCUAGACCGACAUUGACGCUGAGGCACGAAAGCGUGGGGAUCAAACAGG